CCCUUAUCAAGAGUGGCGGAGGGAACGGCCCGAUGAAACCACGGCAACCUGUCUUUGACAAGGUGCCAAAUCCGACGGAAUCCGACAGAUGAGGA
This is a non-coding RNA of Oscillibacter valericigenes Sjm18-20, 95 nucleotides long. The record is from Rfam. NCBI's taxonomy places the organism in Bacteria, Bacillati, Bacillota, Clostridia, Eubacteriales, Oscillospiraceae.